This 465-nucleotide ribosomal RNA is filed under the name uncultured bacterium. Its description in RNAcentral is "partial 16S ribosomal RNA". It matches the Rfam family "Bacterial small subunit ribosomal RNA", at positions 338 to 795 of the family's 1533-position model. The record is from RNAcentral.
CCUACGGGAGGCAGCAGUAGGGAAUCUUCCACAAUGGGCGAAAGCCUGAUGGAGCAACGCCGCGUGAGUGAAGAAGGUCUUCGGAUCGUAAAGCCGUGUUGUUAGAGAAGAAAGUGCGUGAGAGUAACUGUUCACGUUUCGACGGUAUCUAACCAGAAAGCCACGGCUAACUACGUGCCAGCAGCCGCGGUAAUACGUAGGUGGCAAGCGUUAUCCGGAUUUAUUGGGCGUAAAGGGAACGCAGGCGGUCCUGUAAGUCUGAUGUGAAAGCCAUCGGCUUAACCGGAGUAGUGCAUUGGAAACUGGGGGACUUGAGAGCAGAAGAGGGGAGUGGAACUCCAUGUGUAGCGGUGAAAUGCGUAGAUAUAUGGAAGAACACCAGUGGCGAAAGCGGCUGUCUGGUCUGUAACUGACGCUGAGGUUCGAAAGCGUGGGGAGCAAACAGGAUUAGAUACCCGAGUAGUC